GGGGAAUCUUGCGCAAUGGGCGAAAGCCUGACGCAGCAACGCCGCGUGCGGGAUGAAGGCCCUCGGGUCGUAAACCGCUUUCGACAGGGAAGAAAAUGACGGUACCUGUAGAAGAAGCCCCGGCCAACUACGUGCCAGCAGCCGCGGUAAUACGUAGGGGGCGAGCGUUGUCCGGAUUUAUUGGGCGUAAAGAGCUCGUAGGCGGUUAGCUAAGUCAGAUGUGAAAACUCAGGGCCCAACCCUGAGCCUGCAUUUGAUACUGGUUUGACUUGAGUCAAGUAGGGGAGUGUGGAAUUCCCAGUGUAGCGGUGAAAUGCGCAGAUAUUGGGAGGAACACCAGCAGCGAAGGCGGCACUCUGGGCUUGUACUGACGCUGAGGAGCGAAAGCAUGGGUAGCAAAC
Molecule: ribosomal RNA, 401 nt
Filed under: uncultured bacterium
Lineage: Bacteria
Description: bacterial SSU rRNA
Rfam family: Bacterial small subunit ribosomal RNA
Source: RNAcentral